RNAcentral lists this unclassified non-coding RNA (302 nucleotides) under Hevea brasiliensis (rubber tree). Lineage: Eukaryota; Viridiplantae; Streptophyta; Magnoliopsida; Malpighiales; Euphorbiaceae. The record is from RNAcentral.
AAGGAGGAAAAUGAUGUAAAUAUGUAGAUUUGAUCUGCAGCUUUGCUUCAAUUCUUUUAUUUGUAGAACAGUCUCUGUUGUAUGUAUCCCCAAGUCCUGGGAAUGAUUUAUAAUCUUAGUGAAAGAGAAGAAAAUCGAAGUGUGUAGUCAUGGGUGAUCAGUCAUUGAGGUUAGGAAGUAGAACUGAUUUAGUGACUGACUUUGUUCUUCUUUUUCUUCUGAGGUUAGGAAGCAGAACUGAUUUAGUGUUCAAAUGGUAGUUCCCACCAAUGUACAUUCAAAUGUAGUCCUAGCACUUCCCC